Long non-coding RNA from Dunckerocampus dactyliophorus (ringed pipefish), 699 nucleotides. RefSeq lists it as uncharacterized. Lineage: Eukaryota; Metazoa; Chordata; Actinopteri; Syngnathiformes; Syngnathidae. The record is from RefSeq and is a predicted model, not a curated record. The transcript is spliced from 4 exons.
GGGAAAGUUGACUGAUAUCAGCUCGAGAGGAUACAAUGGCAGAUAGAGAUGACAGCUCCAACCGUUGGGCCUUGCAGUAAGGAACGUGUGAGUAAGCCCCAGUACCCGGAAAAAACCCAUGCACGCCACGGGGAGAGCAUGCCAACUCCUCUUCCAACAGAGACAUGAACCCAGAAUCUCUCGACUGUAAGGCCAACAUGCUAACCACUAGGCCAGCAUGUGUCUGAUCUUAAGUCAUUACUGGAACUACAACAGGGGAAUCUUACAAAAAGAAAAAAAAAAAAAACCUUCCAGCUGGGGCACCGUGGCUAAAUCGGCUGCUGCCUUUUUGUUGCUGUCAGAUGAAAAUGACACAUCUCCACUUUUUAACAUAAUUACAUCCUCUGUGUUCUCCUGUCCAAAGCAUGGAGCUAAAAAACCAACGGAAGCAUGUUUUAUGUUUUAUAAUGCCAUGUUCAUAACAAGCAUAUCCUCACGGACCCUUUUCACUUUGUAAUUGGAGUACAGCAGACUGCUGGUGCCAAGUGUCGGCAACCUUGGAUAAUGAAUGUAAUAUUUUCUGGAGAUGGCAGUCAAUAAACACAUUUUGCAGUCAACAAAGUGCAAAAAUGCUUUCUCAAAGAUGGAGAUUCAUUCAUUCAUCCCAGCACUCAUCCUGUUAAGGCUCACGGGUGAGCUGGAGCCCAUCCUAGCUGACUU